This 836-nucleotide ribosomal RNA is filed under the name Kitasatospora sp. IM-103B. RNAcentral's name for it is "bacterial SSU rRNA". It matches the Rfam family "Bacterial small subunit ribosomal RNA", at positions 38 to 889 of the family's 1533-position model. The record is from RNAcentral. Lineage: Bacteria; Bacillati; Actinomycetota; Actinomycetes; Kitasatosporales; Streptomycetaceae.
GGCGGCGUGCUUAACACAUGCAAGUCGAACGGUGAAGCCCUUCGGGGUGGAUCAGUGGCGAACGGGUGAGUAACACGUGGGGAAUCUGCCCUGAACUCUGGGACAAGCCUUGGAAACGAGGUCUAAUACCGGAUACGACCGCUUCCCGCAUGGGGGGUGGUGGAAAGCUCCGGCGGUUCAGGAUGAUCCCGCGGCCUAUCAGCUUGUUGGUGGGGUAACGGCCCACCAAGGCGACGACGGGUAGCCGGCCUGAGAGGGCGACCGGCCACACUGGGACUGAGACACGGCCCAGACUCCUACGGGAGGCAGCAGUGGGGAAUAUUGCACAAUGGGCGAAAGCCUGAUGCAGCGACGCCGCGUGAGGGAUGACGGCCUUCGGGUUGUAAACCUCUUUCAGCAGGGAAGAAGCGCAAGUGACGGUACCUGCAGAAGAAGCACCGGCUAACUACGUGCCAGCAGCCGCGGUAAUACCUAGGGUGCGAGCGUUGUCCGGAAUUAUUGGGCGUAAAGAGCUCGUAGGCGGCCUGUCGCGUCGGAUGUGAAAGCCCGGGGCUUAACCCCGGGUCUGCAUUCGAUACGGGCAGGCUAGAGUGUGGUAGGGGAGAUCGGAAUUCCUGGUGUAGCGGUGAAAUGCGCAGAUAUCAGGAGGAACACCGGUGGCGAAGGCGGAUCUCUGGGCCAUUACUGACGCUGAGGAGCGAAAGCGUGGGGAGCGAACAGGAUUAGAUACCCUGGUAGUCCACGCCGUAAACGUUGGGAACUAGGUGUUGGCGACAUUCCACGUCGUCGGUGCCGCAGCUAACGCAUUAAGUUCCCCGCCUGGGGAGUACGGCCGC